This 689-nucleotide ribosomal RNA is filed under the name Salmonella enterica subsp. enterica serovar Thompson. Its description in RNAcentral is "bacterial LSU rRNA". It matches the Rfam family "Bacterial large subunit ribosomal RNA", at positions 187 to 816 of the family's 2925-position model. Lineage: Bacteria; Pseudomonadati; Pseudomonadota; Gammaproteobacteria; Enterobacterales; Enterobacteriaceae. The record is from RNAcentral.
GGGGAACUGAAACAUCUAAGUACCCCGAGGAAAAGAAAUCAACCGAGAUUCCCCCAGUAGCGGCGAGCGAACGGGGAGGAGCCCAGAGCCUGAAUCAGCAUGUGUGUUAGUGGAAGCGUCUGGAAAGGCGCGCGAUACAGGGUGACAGCCCCGUACACAAAAGCGCAUGUGUUGUGAGCUCGAUGAGUAGGGCGGGACACGUGGUAUCCUGUCUGAAUAUGGGGGGACCAUCCUCCAAGGCUAAAUACUCCUGACUGACCGAUAGUGAACCAGUACCGUGAGGGAAAGGCGAAAAGAACCCCGGCGAGGGGAGUGAAAAAGAACCUGAAACCGUGUACGUACAAGCAGUGGGAGCCCCACCACUAAGCCAGUGGUGAACUCCACAUACGCAUCCUUUGCUGAGGAUACGGUUAACGGAGCGAAAGCGACGUUCAACCGCAAAAGAAGCAGAGGGGGCUUAGUGGUGGGGUGACUGCGUACCUUUUGUAUAAUGGGUCAGCGACUUAUAUUCUGUAGCAAGGUUAACCGUAUAGGGGAGCCGUAGGGAAACCGAGUCUUAACCGGGCGUUAAGUUGCAGGGUAUAGACCCGAAACCCGGUGAUCUAGCCAUGGGCAGGUUGAAGGUUGGGUAACACUAACUGGAGGACCGAACCGACUAAUGUUGAAAAAUUAGCGGAUGACCUGUGGCU